CCUACGGGAGGCAGCAGUGGGGAAUAUUGCACAAUGGGGGAAACCCUGAUGCAGCGACGCCGCGUGAGUGAAGAAGUAUUUCGGUAUGUAAAGCUCUAUCAGCAGGGAAGAAAAUGACGGUACCUGAUUAAGAAGCCCCGGCUAACUACGUGCCAGCAGCCGCGGUAAUACGUAGGGGGCGAGCGUUAUCCGGAUUUACUGGGUGUAAAGGGAGCGUAGACGGGAGAACAAGUCAGGAGUGAAAUGCCUGGGCUUAACCCAGGGACUGCUUUUGAAACUGUGAAUCUAGAGUGCAGGAGAGGUAAGUGGAAUUCCUAGUGUAGCGGUGAAAGGCGUAGAUAUUAGGAGGAACACCAGUGGCGAAGGCGGCUUACUGGACUGUAACUGACGUUGAGGCUCGAAAGCGUGGGGAGCAAACAGGAUUAGAUACCCGAGUAGUC
RNAcentral lists this ribosomal RNA (440 nucleotides) under uncultured bacterium. RNAcentral describes it as "partial 16S ribosomal RNA". It matches the Rfam family "Bacterial small subunit ribosomal RNA", at positions 338 to 795 of the family's 1533-position model. The record is from RNAcentral.